Carassius auratus (goldfish) is the source of this 238-nucleotide long non-coding RNA. RefSeq lists it as uncharacterized. The record is from RefSeq and is a predicted model, not a curated record. The transcript has 2 exons. Lineage: Eukaryota; Metazoa; Chordata; Actinopteri; Cypriniformes; Cyprinidae.
AAGCUGAAUUGAAAGUUCACUGGUUGCCUUGCACUGUGUGUGGCAAAACCUGGGAUGACACAUGGGAGCCUGCGAGUGAAUUCCAACACAUUGUGCCAAAGUCCCCACAUCCCAACCAGCUUUCAGCAUGACAACAUAGUCACCAUAGACACCUGGACUCAUCAAGCACCCUUCAAUGCAGUUUAUUUUUGAGUGUUUUUUCUUGCUGUUUGUUCUUCAGUAAAGUUUUUGCACAGUA